RNAcentral lists this long non-coding RNA (18796 nucleotides) under Selaginella moellendorffii. Its description in RNAcentral is "long non-coding RNA (SMOE_LNC001992)". The record is from RNAcentral. Lineage: Eukaryota; Viridiplantae; Streptophyta; Lycopodiopsida; Selaginellales; Selaginellaceae.
UUCUUGUCACUGUUUUAACUCGUCUAAAACGUUUGUUUCGCGCUUGGACAGUUUAACGACAUACUCAACACCUUAUUUUCUUCAAACGUUCUGGUGGGAUUUGUGCUGGCUGUGCUCCUGGACAGCACCUUGAAAGCGCAUAAGAAGGAUCGGGGAAUGGGGUGGUGGAAGAAGUAUCACAAGUGGGAUCAUCCAACAAAUGAAGAAUUCUACAAGCUGCCUCUCAAUAUGAACAGAUAUUUUCCUCCUCCACACUACUAAGAGACCAAUAAAAUUUCGGUGACCUUUUUUAACUGUAUAGAAUCUCCAAGAUUUGCAUUUUCAGCCACUCAAAAUGCAAGCAUAAACCAGCUUGAAAGCUUUCUGAAGUGACUUUCUCAUACGAAGAUCACCAAGAACUUGGAGACAUUCUUUUCUUUUUUUUGGAAGAACAAAGUUUCAUUAAAAACAUGCAAAGUUAAACAUGUAUUUUGUUUUGUUUUUUAGGCUGCAAUCAAAUAGAAUAGAACAGAAUAGCCUUUUACAUAUUUGUCUAAUAUUUGUUUUGGUUUGUGGUAUUUGGUGAUUUUCAAGAGGAAGAUUGCCAUUGGGUGGUUCAUGAGAGAUUGAACUCGGUAAUAAGUGCACUCUCAAGUGUGUUUGAAUGUAUGUCUCCCUCGUAGCAGAGUUGGCAAAGUCGCUCCUCCCACUGUAGCCAUGGUUCGUGAUAAGGAUCAGCAUCGUUGAUAUGUAUUCUAUCAAGUGGGAGAUUAGGUGUGGCUAUCUUCCUAGAACUUAGCCACCUUAGGAGAAUGACUCCCAAACAGUCAAUGUAAGCAGCCAAGAUCAUCUAAUUGCAGUAAAUUAAUCAACUCUUUUCAACCAUGUUUUGAAGAGAUAGUUGAAGGGCUGUAUAAGCUUGUUACCACCAGGAACAUGGAGAGUCGGGUGCAAGCAUGGCGAGCUUGUUCCUGCGGUCACAUGACUUUUGACCAUUCUUAAAGUUAGUUAAAUGACACAUACAAAGCCAUAAUAUUCUCUGUUGCAGUAAAAUUCUCAAUAAUGACUAAUCUAGAUCAAGGGGAGGGAAGUGUUUUUUAGUGGAUUUGCUGGGACAACCAUGUAGAGAUGUCCUCUUGAUAACAUAGAUGGAACAAGCCUUAACAGGCAGGCACACGCUAGUUAAAUUGAUUGCACUGUUGCCGACCGUUGGUCGACCAGCCUAGCAUGGUUACAAGUGGAAAGUCGCUCCAUUCAGCUGCAAGCCUGUCUCUGAGAGAGUCUGGAACACAAGUACUUGGUUCAUGUCUCCAACCAUAGCCCAUGAGAGCACUCCACAGUGUCAAGUUCGUGAUUGGAUGGAGUCAUAUCGAAUGUGUCCUCCACACUUGCUGUAGAAAUCUACCAGAGAGACCUUCAAACGCAAGCAUCAAACACAAUCCUUCCACUUUCUCUGGUAAGGCAUGAGUACGUUUUCGUGUUGUCUAGCAGCUGAAAAGAGCCCAAAAACCUGGGUGGUGAAUCUUUAAGACGAUCCAACCAUGAGCAGGCGCAAGACGUAUUUGACACUCUCAAUAUAAAAGCACCAUGCCAUCAUAGACAAUGGUGGCAUAUAAGCUUCACGCAUGGACUGCAUUGCUAGGGAUGGAUCUCCACAAACUCCUUUUGGCGAACACAGCAUCAGUGAGCAUGGUGAAAGGAAUGCCGCUCAGCCAUGUGUGGUGGCAUGGAAGACAAUGCUAGCUGUGGCCCGAAAGUGGCAGAAGGUGGAGAUUGAAAGGAUGGCAUUUCAAGGGCUGGUAGCACUGGAGGUGGAGGUAGACAAGGAUGAAGCUGGAUCCACAUUUGCGCUGAUGGCAAACAUCUACACUAGAACUGAGAUGUGGGAAAAACAUGCAUAGGUUCUCAAGGAAUAAGAAGAGCUUGUUUGUGGUAAGUUAGUAUCUCCUUUCAGUUCUUCCGGAACACUGAAAGAAGAAGCUAUGAGUGAGUGCUGUGAUUCUGGGAAUACUCAAGGCAUGUAUUAGAGCCAAGGUUGGAAAAUCAUUCAUGAUAAUCCAGUUUAGAGCGAUCACUACUCUUUACAUGGCGAGUGGUCUGGUUUAUACGGCAGCAUGGUGUUCGCAGUAGGUCUUUGAUGGGAUGACCAACAGGAUACAGUGUCGUGGAACUCAUUGAUUCAAGGAUACUCAUAAUCUCUUCCAUGAUUCAAGAGGCACCAUCAUGGUCUGAGGCAUCUCAAUCAACAAGUAGAGACCAAGAUUCUAUAGAUGCUAAAAAAUGAUCACGAGCCAAGGGCUUGGUGAAGAUAUUGGCCACCAUCUCUCCUGUAACACAGUACACCAGCUUGAGGAUCUCCUCUUCAGUCUUCUAAUGAACAAAAUGAUGAUGAGUGUCAAAGUGCUUGGGUGGCAAUGGUAGUGAGGGUUGGCAGCCAGAGCUAUACAGCUCCAGUUAUCACACCACAGCCUUGUUGGAACUUGCUGAGGAAGGCCAACCUCUACAAGUAAGGCUCUGAGCCACACGAGUUCUUUAGCCAUGUGAGAGGCACUUAGCAUUGCCACCUCUUUUCAAAGACUAUUGUUCAUUGAACAAUUUAAGGAAAUGUUUGUCAUCAAUUUUGUACUUCCGAUGAUUAUAAUACUUAUUAGCCAAUCCCUUAUUUCAUUCUUAAACUUGUCUCAUGUUUAACUUUGUUAACUCAAAUUUGUCUUACAUAUCUUCCAAAAGAAAAUCACAAAUAUAAAGCACUCAAACUAAAGUCAAACUCAAAGCUAUGGGAGACCUUGGUUAAUAGCUAUAUUGAUUGUUGAGUGUUAUUGUGAGUAAAUUGAAGAAAAACUAAAUAUUUAUUUAUAAUGCAUAUGGUUUUCAUCUUUUACCCUAUAAUGAAUUAUAAUAGAAUAACCAUAGAGCAAAACCUUAACCUUUGGACAUGUGGCCAAGAGCAAUGGAGCAAAAUCUAAGUUUUAAUGCCCAAGGCUACUGAACAAAGGAAACUCCCAAAGAGUGAAACAAUUAAAGCACAUAAUGACUCUAGAGUAUAUAUUCUAAGGAGCAAAGAGACAAAGUAUAAAAUGACAUUAGAAUAGUCUUAAAGCAUUCAACAUCUUAAUUCCAUGAUUAUUAUGCAAAACAAGGCUAAAUAGAAUUUGGUGCUAUUUCAGCAACUGGUUAACACAAAAAUAUGGAUAUUCUACUAAUUAGCAUGGUAUGGAGUUUAAAGUUAAACCCAAGUUAAAUGUAGAACAAGGAUAGAUAUACAAAACAAAGCCAAAUAGAAUUUAGUGCUACCAGUUAACACAUUAAUUAGCAUGAUAUGGAGUUUAAAGUUAAACCCAAGUUAAAUGUAAAACAAGGAUAAACACAUAAAUAAAGGAGUUAAACUAUACCUUUAGCCAAACCUAACUUACCCACUACCCUUAUUAUACAUUUGAACCCUUUACAAAGUUUUGCAUCUAGUUUAGGUCUAAUCUGAAGCUUUAUACUAUGUUAAUUAAUAAAGUAUUUAUAUCCUCACAUUAGGCUACUUAUAUAAAUAAAGUUUUAGAACAUAACACUUCAAGAAAAAAAUGUUUUUAAGAAUACAACCUUUCAAUUAUUUGAAUAUAAAUGCAUUCAAUCUUGGUGAAGAAGAAAAUUUUGGCUACAACAUUUUAAUUACAUGCUUUAAACUGUUAAAUGUUUUUUUCUAAUAUUUUUAUUAUAUUUUUAUAGUGUUAUGGCUGUCAUAUUGUGGAUCUAACAAUAUUCACUAUACUAAUAACAAUAAAGAGAGUGAGAAUUGGUGGAUUCAAUAAAAAAAGAUAGUAUAGCUAAAAAGGAUUAAAAUAGUGAUCUAGCCUAUUUUAUUAUAAGAAAAUACAUGAUAAAAUUUGUUUAAAGAAUUUUCAAAUACUUGGUGAAACAUAAAUAUUGAUAUUAUUCAAUUAUAAUUUUAGCUGAUUUAAUCCCAAAAAAAUGGUGUAAUUUUCUUUAGAUAUGUUGUGAUUUUACUAGAGCUUAAAAUAUUGAAGUUGACAUCUUUGGGAUCAAUUGCCUAUGGUUGAUUACCCUUUUCAUAUCACUUCACUUUAUAAAGUGUGAUAUUGAAUUAUAAUUAAAACAUAUUUGUGUUUUUAUAAGUGACAUAUUUAAAACAAACAAAUUUCUUUUGAAAUUGUUUCAUAUACUCAUAAAAUUGAUAGCACUUACGGUUUCAGUGGCAGACAAAUAUACGAUAAUGGUGUUAAGAAUAUACCGCAAUGGUGCUUAAAGAAUAUGCCACCAUGGUGAAUAACGAAUGUACCAAGAAAAUCCUAGCUAGAUGGUGGUAACAUAUGUUAUGAACCACCUUUUUCUUGUAUAAAUAGGGUUUGGCAGGGCUUAUGGAGCCCAUGGAGGUGGAUGAUCCGGUUUCUGGCUUGUCAAGGGAAAUCCGGGAAGUUGAACAGCAGAUUGCUGUGGUUGAGGGCCAAAUUACAGGGGUUGAGCGCCAAAUUAGUGCCAUUGAGGGGCAACUGGAGCAGCCAAAUGAUCCCAAGGAGGAGGAGCGGCUGGUCAAGAAGGAGGAGCAGCUGCGCGAGAAGGAGAAGCAGCUGCGCAACGAGGAGCAGCAGCUGCGCGAGAAAGAAGCAGCUGCGCAACGAGAAGAAGCAGCUGCGCGAGAAGGAGCAGCAGCUGUGGGAUAAAUUCAAGGGUAAGCCUUUGUUGAUCUCAUUGUUUUUCUUUCCCUUUUAGAUCUCUCUUUUGGCUUGCGUUGUUUUUUCUUGCAGAACCAGUCAAAGCGGUUUUGACUGUCGCAAAUAUAGAUAGUCUCUUGGAUAGGUUUUGGCAUGAGUUGCGCAAGCCAAAUCUUCAGUAUCCCAAGGCGGAUGCGUUUCUGGUGGAUUUCCCAACGUGUAAAGUCCCACUGCCAAAAGAUCCUACAGAUGAAUGCCCCCACCUCUUGUGGCAUGCACUAGACCAGCCUUUCGAAACAUCCAAGCGUAUCAUAGAGGUAACUAACGAAGCGCGGCCGACCCUCACCGUUCUCUUCAACGUGUCGGGAUCGGGGAAGACCAGGACAUUAUAUGAGAUCGCUCUAGCGCAGCGUGGGCUCUUCUUUGUGGGGGUCUCUGACACUGAUACUGGAGCUGAAGGUUCAGGAGAUCUCAAGUUAGUGACAUCAAAGUUGCUGGAGCUGUAUCCAACUGGAGACAUUCCAGAAGUUAGUGCUGCAAUCUGCCUCAAAGCCUUGCUCAUCAGCAGGUUUUAUUUGCUGGGGCAGGUGGAGAAAAUGGGCGAUUUGACGGGUCAGGCAUGGCUCUUCAAGCAGGUUGCACUCCAGCAUUUCUAUGGCUUCAAAGAUCCGUUCAAGGCGCUCACCAUUAGACUUUUAAACUUGAUAGGACUUGGAACGCAUUGAAGGUCAGUUCCAGGGGGUAUUGUAUCGUCUAAAAGGGAAUUGGGAUGGUCCGAUUAUAUUUGACGAGUGUCAAAUAAUAAAUUGCUGGUUGGAGAAGCGCUUUUCACCAUCGAUUCUUGGUUGUAGCAGCAGAUCAUUUCUCGACAUUCUUGUGCCGGCACUCGUAAAUUGUGGAUUUCGACAAUUAUACUAUGCAGGCACAAGUGGUAGUAUGCUAGCCGUGGCACGGGGUAUCUCUGCCACUUUGAAGAGAAGAGCUUCUGUUAUGGUCUUCCAUGGAUUUGGUGGAUUCACCACUGUUGAGGACUUCAAGCUCUAUGCUGGGAAACUACUCCGAAGUGUGGAUGGUAUUGAUAUGCAGAGGGUCUGUGAUUUGUACAAAGGGAGGUACAGGUUCUUUGUCACAGCACUUGAGCAUUUCAUUGGGAGCAAGCGUCCCUUGGAGCAGGCAACAGAAUUCCUGAUUGGCUUUUUUGAGAAGAUGUGCACCUCGAGUAAGAUCAGUCGUUCUCAGGAGGGUGUACCGAACAAAUCAGAAUUGGAAGUCUACAUGGAUAAGACGGUCCUGAGGGAUGUGGAGCUGUUUUUUGAAAGGACUCGGAAUGCUGCAGCGGUCAAGGAGCUAAAGGUGAUACUGUAUCACCAGAUGUUUGGGUCUAUAUCCACUGUACUCAACAUCAACAAUCCAUCUCUGAGCCUUGUGGAGUUCGGGUUAGCCUGGCUAAGCAGGGGAGACAGUGUUGCGUUGGAGGACUUGGAUAAGUUCUCUGCAGAGCAGGACAGAGACAUUUGGAUCAAACUGCAGGAACCUGCUGUCAUUCGAGCUCUUUUCCAUUAUUUUAGUAAUUGACCAAUAAUCUUUGAUAAGUUUUGUCAGCAGGCAGUUUAAAGCUAAGGGCCAAGGCAGUGAUAUGACAGUGACAGUGGGUCUUGAGUCUGAAAGGCUGGUGGGGUUUAUGGUUGACGCAUUGGACGGAAAGGCUCCUGUAGACUUUGUGUCUCGCUUUCUUCAGAAUCGCUUUGUAAAACUGAGCAACAACAAUUUUGAAGUUCCUGCAAUAUAUCUUGAGAAGGCAAAGGUGGUGAUGGCAUGCCUUGCAACAGGAGUUGUGACAAAGAUGUGCGGUAAAAGUCAGGAGUUGUGACAAAGAUGUGCGGUAAAAGUCACACCCAUGGCUCUGACUGUUAUACACUUGGGAGCAGUAUCUCGACGACAUUGAAGGGCAGGCUGACGCACUGCCAAUGGUUCUCUGGACUGGUGAUGGUGGCUGGGGUGCCUUCCGUCCAGACGCGUUGUUUUUUCUCACCAAUGACUAUGAGUCAGAGCGGCGGCUCAUUCCUUGCUCAUUACAGAUGACAGCCGGGGAUGAUGCGAAGGUGAAAUUUCAAGUGCUUUGGACAGGAUCUGGAACAGUUUGGUUUCAACUCUUUUGCAGGUCAACUCCCUAGUGGUGGGCGGCUUUCCCCACUGAAACGGCAAAAUGUUGAGGGGGUCAUACAGCCAUUAUGUGGAGUGAUUGGUGGCAAUAACGUGUCUUUGUAUCUGAAAGAGUGGUUGAUUGAUUCGGUCUGGGUUCUUAAAGUUAAUGUAUAAAAAUCUACAAGUUCCCAUCGAGAACCUGUAAGUCGUGUCUAGCACAAGGAAUACGAAAGAAAGACUUUGAAUCAAACCGGCAAUGCAAGAUCCAGUUGGUUUCUCCCAGCAUUGCAAGAAAAGCGAAAAAUCAUAACUGGCAUUAGCGAACUCGACUGCUGCUCCUUUGAGAAGGCUCCAUCUCUUUGAGACGAAGAACAAACGAAAAAAAAAAAGAGAGAGAACGCACGAUUUCGUGGAAUUGAGCUAGCAAUUCCACUUCUCACCCCUGACUUGUUUCAGUGCCGCCACCCUCGACUUCUCUCUAGCGGUGACUUCUUCCUUUCUAGAAAUUCUAUCCUCAGAGCCUUCUCUCUCGCCUAUAUUCCCUAACGAGUUCUUGCCACUAGAAAACCAGCCCCUUGUAUUGUGAAUGUAGCGCUUGCCGCUAGGCCUGUGCUCCAUCGCUGACUCUCUCUAGCAUCGUUAUCCCAGCCGGAGCUUUCCCAACGAGAUGGGUUCCAUCGUCUUCUUCCUGGGAUGGAGCAGCCACUGGACGAUCUCGCUCCUCCUCCACGCGGAUAAUCUCCACCAUCAUGUCCAAGAAUUCGUGGAGCUGAUCUUGCAUGGUAGAGCUUGGGGUGAUGAUCGUCGGCGGCUCUUUGGCGCUCGAUUCUAGGCCUAGCAGCGGGCUAUAGAGUGAGAGAGCUAUAAUCCACGACGCAGCUGCGCAGCCGCUUCUCUUCCUCCUCCUCUUCGCUGGAUUCUUGCAUCGAUCGCUUUCUCAUCUCCAAAACCCUAGGAAGAAUGCGCUCACCUCUCUGGAUCCAGCAAUGCGCGGCCGAUCUACCGAGCUCCGCUCCAGCACUCCAAGAUCGCAUCGAUCGAUCGUCUCGCUAGGGUAAACCAUGGAGGCUGGAAAUAUUUGGAGGGCUUUUGGUGUUUGAAAGGUCAAGAUGGGCUAGGCUAUUGUCGAUCCUUCCUGGUGGAGGAGAGCGCGGCUUCUUCUCCCAGGCCAGGCACUGGAUUCGCUACCGCGGCAGCAUCAUGGCGCUGGCGACGGGACAAUCCCAGGUCCAUAGAGCUCGAGGCUAUCAUUCUUUCCUGGCGGCUCCGAAUUGCUAGAGAAUGUAACCCUUCCCCUGGAACUCCAGAAGCUAGAAACAGAUCGAGAAGUAUGAUGGUGAAAGAAUUUCGAUGAAUUGCCUCGUUUUCAUACUUCUUUCUUUCCAGGGUUUUCUGCGAUGAAAAGGAACUCUUGGACGCUGGCAGGAAAUCCAAGUAAGCUCUAUCUGCUUUUUUUCUUUCAUGGAGAGAGCACUGGUGAUUUUGUUUUCCUUCUCCAGGGAGCAUGGAUUCUAAGGCCGAGCAAAGGAGUUGUUGUCCAUUUUGUUGUACAUCCUCUUAAGGUAGGCCCGGGGAUAAAACAAACAAAUAAAAUAAUAUUAUGUGGCUAAGUUGCUAUAUUAUCUAACAAAUUUUGCUUGCCCUAAUUUUGCAGUUUGGUUGAGUUCUUGAAGGGGUUUGUUGGAGGAUUUUUGCUGCAAUUUUGAAUUAAAAUUUGCAAGAAAUGAAGAAUUGUUUACCCUCACUUUAUAUGUGGUCACAAUUUGGCUUAUAUUCUAAUUUAGCAAUAACUCAAAUUCAUGUAAGUAUAGAAUUUUGUAAUUUUAGAAUUUUGUUUAUUUUUCUCAAUAUCAAGGGAGAAAAAACCUCCUCUUUUAAAGCUAGUAUGGGAUUUAUGUCAAAUGUAACUUUGAUCCAUGUAUUUCUUUUUGUCUUUUUGCUUUUAAACUUUUGCUUAGAUGCUUUAUUUCGUUAAAGUGAAACUUUUCAUUAUCCCACUUAUGGUGUGUGGCCACAUGCCAUUUUUAUAACAACAAUAAAAAAUUGAAGUUUUAGCUUUAUAAUUUAUAAAUUAAAAACUUUUCAUAUGAUUUUGUGUUAUAAUAUUGUGAAAUAUAAAAAAUAAAUAAAAAAACUGAUAGAAAUAUUAAUAAAUAUUAAUUAAGUACUAGGAAAUGGCAUGUGGACACAUGCUAAUUAAUGUCCCACUUUACUGAAUAAAUUCCACUUUAACGAAAUAAAGCAUUUAGCAAUUUAGUUUUGCAUUGCUAUGAUGAUUGGAUUUGUUCUAAAUAUUUCUAGAAUUCAAGUUACUUUCAACCUUAAGCUGGUAUUGUUUUUAUACUUUGUCUUGAAUGUAUUUUUAUAAUAACAAGGAUUUCAUAUUUAGAAAUUCCUCUUUCACAACUUUGUUAUCACUACAUCCUCUAGAAUUAACUCUUGUAAUGGAAUAACAAGUAUUCUAGAAGUACAACAAAUAUUAUUUUUAUUUAUUACUUAAUUUAUAAACUUAUUUUUCUAAAUGAACCAACUUUGAAUAAUGAACACAAAGGAAAAUGGUAUAUUAAUUAGAACAUAGCUUUCUAGUACACAGAGAGGAUGGAAAAUGAAAAGGAUUGAGAAGGUAGUGUCAAUGAAAGAAUCAAAGAAAUAGUGAUGCAUUUUUGGCAUCUUAUGUUCAAAAGAAUUUCAUCACAUACCAAAGUAAUGUGAGUCAUAAUAAGAUGAGCUUGAUAAGAAGUGGAGGCAAAUUAGUGACUAUGAAAGUAACAUCCUAUUAAGAAAAUUAUCCUACUUUAGUAGUGAAUUUAUUGUAAGGAUGAAAAAGGAUGUGAAGCCUCCUUUGUGCAUUUGACAAAGGCCUCUACAAUGAAAUGUCAUUAUGGAUAACACAGUCAAGAAUUAUUGUUCCAAGUAGCCACCAAAUUGAUACAUCCAUAGGUUUCACAAUUGCAAGCAAAUCAUUAAGUUAUAGUAAGUUCAUUUGUCUUUUUAUGAUUAACUUUUAUCUUUCUUUUUUCAAGAAACAAAUCUAGACUCAAAUGUUGUAUUUGAGAUACGAGAUUCUAAAAAUGCACAUUCCAAAAGUACAAGUUGGAAAUUUUAAUAACUACAGGGAAAAAACACAAAUACACUCCAAAGGGAUUUAAUGGUUUCCUUGAGUGAAGUGAUGAGAAAAGGAAAGUAAUAAUGCAAAAACUUCAAAAUAACAACAUGCAAAUGAUGGAGAAAAUAGCCGAUGAUCAAUGGCACUAAAUUUUGAUUUUCACUGUAGAAAGGAGAGUUGUAAUGAUGUUGCAAAGAACAUAUGUGAUGUGUGAGGAACUUCAACUGCUCUAGCAAGCUUUUGUGCAAUCAAUUGUGACAAGGAGAAGUAGAAUUGCAAUAUUUUUUUUUAAAGUGUUGAAAUGGAAUUGAGUUUAAUUAUAAGCUAGGUCACGAUAUUAGGUGCUGGAUCACGUAUAGAGGUAUGGAGCACCUCAAGCAAGUUUAGGUUUGAUCUUGAUUCAGCCCUUGGCCAUGAGCUCUCGGCCUUGGAGCUUGGCCAUGAAGCUCUUAUGGCCAUGAGCUCUUGGCCAUGGAGCUCUUGGCCCUUGAGCUCUCGGCCAUGGCUUUCAUGGAUUUUGGUGAGCAUCUUAUAGAUAUCUUUUUACUUGGGGUUACCUCUAAAUUUAUCCCAUGACUAAGCAUUUGCUGCACCUUAUAUAUUUCAUGCCCAUAUUCACAAAGAGUACAAGCGCAUGACUGGUUCUUAAUUCUCUCUUAGCUCCCCAUGAACAAAAAAAGUUCUCCAAGCUUUGGCAAGAGCUAGACUAUCAUUCUACCUUGCCAAAGAGCAAGUAUUUACCAUUAGAUAUUGCAUUAGGAGAUUUGCAUAGUGCCUCUCCACUUUGAAUUUUUCCUCAAGCUGUAGAUCCACCACUUCCAAAGAGGCCAAGACACAUUCUUAGAGAUCUUGAGUACCAACCAAUAGCUGCAAAUCAAUCAAGGAUGGUGCAUCAACCUCCACCACCUCCCUCACCCAUGCUGAUGGUGCAUGUGUUAGAUUCAAAAGCAUAUUCUUUCAAAAGGUUCCUCCCAAAGCAACUUAUCCAAGACUUAUUCUAGCACAAAUGAGUCUAUUUUCGACUAUACAAUGCGAUUCAAGGCAUUUUAGAAGAUCUUUCUUGACAAAAGAGUGACACAAGAAGAGUCCAUUGGAGUGUUAGCCUUUGUAUAAGGCCUCAAGCCUGGGCUCUAGAGAAAAGUUGCUAAGUGAUGUUGUGACACCUACCCACCACUAGUGAUGUCAUGAUGCCUACACACAUGCUGGAGAACUUUAGUUGGAGAUGUUCCACAAACUCGGUGUCUCCUUCAUUGAGGAGCUUGUCCAAAACCCUUAGUGCUUGUCUUUAUGCCUUUUUUUGCAUCACAGCCCCUCAGUCAGUCGUUGAGAAAAUUUCCGCCACAGUUGAGUCUACUUUGGCCGAGUUCAAGGAGUACAAGGUGAUCCUUCAGCAACAAUAGAACUAGUAGAGCAAACUCAUGGAGGAACUUCAAACAUUGAAGAUGGCUAUACAAGACUCUUGGUGAUAGCCUCAUUGGUGUAAGAAGUGCAAGGUCUAGUUACACAACACCACUCGUUGUUGGUGACUACAAUUAGAGCUGUGCCACAGAGAUAGUUGCCACAUGAGCAGAGAGUCUAGUGCCAACAAUUUGUAGAUAAUAAGGCCCUAAAUGCCUUUAUAGAGUACUAUGAGACACUACAUUAGUGUGCCAUCAAAGCACCACCGGCAAAUGAAUAUGGCAAAUUCCCAAUGAAUAUAAUUCAUAUAGUAGCAGAGUUGAUAGAAAAGGUGGCUACUCAGACUUAGAGGAAAGCAUAGAUAGCAGUAGAGGAGUUGGACACUAGCUUCAACAAUUGUUUCCCCUCUAGUUCUCAUUGCUUGCAAAUUGCCUUUCUUGAAAGCAUUUGCAACAGUGCCAUCGUAUUCACUCAUAUCUUGAAUUUCAACAUUUGCAUGCAUGCCAAACUUCACCAACACACAGCCCAGAGGGUCUCCUUUGAUGUCAAGUGGUCACUCAAGCAAUCUUAUUGACCAAGUCAUGGCAACUUUAAUCACAACUUCCUACUACUUCCCAACCUUGCUUUAGCAACUUAAGGUUUUAGUGCAAGCUCUUAGUGGAAUGGCACCCUCUUUAGUCUUAGAUAUGGCUCCUAUUCUUGUUGUCAAUGCCAUAGUGGCUCUUGAUCCUAGCACAUUCAUAGUUUUGACAAUGAUUAUGGGCAUUUAUGUGGAGGCUCUUGUUGACUCUGGCUUGGCCAUAAAAAUUCUCUCCUCCACUCUCACCCAACAAGUAGGCUUCCAAAUCUAGGAUUAUUCCAAGGUCGUGCUAAAGACCUUUACAGAUUACUCUAUGGCACUUGCAGGAAUUUUCCAGAGUGUCCUUGUUCUCAUCUAUGGUCAUGAGUCCAUAGUUAACUUCCUUGUCAUGGAGCUAUGGGAACCUCCUCACAGGAGAAGUCCAUCAUUUUGGGAUAGCUAUGGUUAGAUGCAAUGUCUUACGUCUUCAACUUCAAGUAUAGGCAACUACAGAUUGGGAGAGGUGACAACCAAGUGACAAUCCUCAAUGCUAAGUGUAGGCAAUUGCAUCCUAGAAUAUGGUUGAGGUCACCAAAGCAUCAUUAAACUCCUCUCCACAACAAUCCUUUGCUUCUUCAUCAAUUGCCAACAUGAUGAUGGAUGGAGUCUUAAUAUUUGGGAUGCAACAUGAUUGAUUUUCUACACAUGGAUUGGACAACAUUGUCCCUCAAUUUCUCCUCCAUCCACUUUGCAUCACUAUACUCAGGCUCAAGGAGGCAAAAGAUCUAGACAAGAUUCUUAAGAUUCCAAAAAUACCUAACUUGGAGAAGAAUACAAUUUUUGUGGUGCAUUUGGAGAGUGAUUUUCUUGAGACAAAUCUUAUUGCAGGGAUACAAGAGGACACUCUAUAACACUUUUUCACAUAGCUAGAGGUGGUAGAUUUAGUUCUUUCUAGCUCAGAUUCUACACAACUCUAUCAACAUGAGUGAUAUCUAUAUGAGGUUUCAAGAAGAAGCAAUGGCUCUUGCACUUGUGGAGCACAAGGCCCAUCCAGAUAAGGCCACUUCACUUGAUAUUGACCUAGCAUGACUUGCAUUUGCAUUGCCAAGGGGAUUUCUCUUCAUCCCCUACAGUUAAUAUCCAUUAGGCUAUACCUUUACAAGAAAGUCUUGAAGGCAUAUAUACUUUACCAUGUGACCUUAUGAGCAAUGAUAAGAACAUAUUUGCAGAGACUUAAAGGCUCUUUCCAGCCACAACUUUUUUGCUGCACCUUCUCCAGCUCUCCACCAUAGUCCAGAACACUCUGACACAAAAGAUGGAUGACAGGCUAGAAGCUCUAUCAACCAAAGGUGGCAAAAGUAACACCUUUUUUCCACCACCAGCCCAACUCUUUUCAGAAGCUUCUCCAGCCUUAGGAUGUUAUAUUAGACCUCUCCAACCACAAGAUAUUAGCUAUGGCCUCACCCAUAAUGAUCAUGGCAUCUUCUGUGGUCAUUGACACUUCACUCAACCAUUGGAUUCUUAUGAGCAUUUUAGACUGAGUUCACUAUUUUGGAGAUUCUUCCUUCCAUGCUUUAGGGGCUCUAGACAUUGCCAUACACAGCCGAGCUCCAAAUUUGCUCAUUUCAGCAAUUCUACUCACUUUGGGCCUACAUUACAUCACACAUUAGAGGGUGAUAUAGUAGCUUUUGCAGCAUCUCUAGCCUCCUUUAUGACUCUUUACGACCUCCUAGCAUAGACUCAAUCAUUGCUCAAUCUAUGUAGUUUCGACAAGGCAAGCCCUUUUCAAUGGGAUAACAUGUGAUGCUCCAUGAUUUAGUCAUCCAUAACUUUCUCCCUUAGGUGGCUUGGUCCCUUCUUCAUCAAAAAGCACAUUAGAUGUGGUAUUUACAUCCUCACAGAUGAGGUAGGGUAGGAGUUGUCUCUUUCUCUCUCACUCUCUUAGGUGAGCUCAUUUCACUCUCUUUUUCUUCCUUUUCUUUUAUUUUUCUUUUUUCACCUCUGCUUUGAUCUCUUCUUUGUCACAUCCAAGAUGUGAUUCUUAUGACAGAGUAAGCAUAAGCUUGGGCUUUCACCUUAAGGCUGCAUCAACUCCUCUCAUUUGGAAGCUCAUCAAUUUCAUGGUUUGCUAUUCACAGUUCCUAUGUUUUCUUUACAUGAUAUCACUCCAUCUAUCUUCAACAUCACUCUCCAUUACUCAUAGUCACAAUUGAAUUAUUUCAACUUGCUACACCACUCACUACAAUUUCUUGGUUCAUAUUUCUUCACUUUUCUCACCAUGCAAAAAUGAUCUCAAGGAUCCUAUUACAUCACUCUAUUCAUCAUCAAAAUACAUAGCAAAAACAUCAAGAAACAGCCAAAUCUAACAUGUCAGACUCAACAUAUGAUACAAAUUACCUCGAUGUAGCAAGUACAGGUACUUAGCAACUGAUUCUUGAGAGCUGGUUGGACCAGAUGCACACAAAAAACCAGGAAUUACUUUGGAUGGACUAUCAUAUAUGCUGCUGACUACGUUGACCAUAUUCACAAGUUGCCAAGUCCCCUUUACUAUCACUCCAUUACAAUUGGCUAUCACUAUCUUCCACUAUGCAUUUAUUAGGCAGCCAUCUUCCAUCAUUCUUAUAGUUACCAUUUUUAGGCAACACAUUCACUUUCAUCACUUUGAGGAGGCCUUAAGUUGGAGUUCAAGUAAGUGGUUCUCCUAUUUAGUUUUAUGUUUCUAUCUUCUCUUUUUCCAUUUUUCCUUUGUUCUCUUUUUCUUCUCUUUUCUUUGUUUCAUUUUCACUUGUCUUUCCUCCACUUUGUCUCUUCCUGUUUUAGUGUCUAUUUCUUUUGUCAAGUUUUCCCAUGUGGUUUUCCCUUGACUCUAGAACUCUAUACUCUCUUUCUUAAUUUUCACUUUCCUUUGUUUUUUCUUUGGUCUCUUCUCCUCAUAGCAAUUAUUGACAUAGGGCAUCACCUUGGAGUCUACACCAACACUUUGGCUAUGGGUUCUUUAAUGCAACGUAGCUAGUGUAUUUGUUUGUGGUCACUUGUUAGGAGAUGGCUUAGAGCUUUGUGUGAGAUUCCUAGAAUAUUCCACUAUCAAAAUAUUUUAAAGUCAUGAGAAGAUGCUAGCAUGCAAGGGUAUAUUCCCCUUUUUCCCUAUUUUCUAAGGUAUAGAGUUCACACAAGAAGGAUGUUUUUUUGUAAGGACGAAUUUUGAUAAUCAUUUAUAACUAGUGGUGCCUUUGAUUUUUAUUCUAUGUUUUCUCCAUGCCUAUUAUGAUUCUCCUAUUCUAUGUGAGCAUAUAGGACAUCAUCGUAUGAUCAAGAAGCUGUGUAGGUCUUUCUAUUGGCAAGAAAUGCGACGUGGUGUGAGUAGUUAUGUUUGGUGUCAAGUUUGUAAUACUCUCUUUAAUGCUACAGAAGGAUAGUAGGAGUCAAUUGCAAUUUCUUGUUUAUUUGAGUUGAUAGCAUUUGAUUUGAUAGGGCAUUUUCUAUGGAUUGACAAUGAGUAUAUCAUUAUUACUUCUGACUAUUUGAUUUGCUAGAUGGAAGUCGGUGCUUUUGCUAGUGCAUUUACAACUAUUAUUGGAUAUUUCCUCUUUAAUCAAGUGGUGUUUCAACAUUCUUGUCCCAAGUAAAUUCUUUUGGAUAAUAAUCCCAUAUUUAUGGCUGAGACAUUUUAUAUUUUAAUGUUUUGGUUAGGGAUACACCACACUUUCAUAAGUGUUUAUCAUCAUUCACAGUCAAAUGGUUUGAUAGAAUGACUUAUUCAGACCUUGAAAGGGAUGACCAUAAAGUAUAUAAAUUUUUAAUAUUCAAAUUAAAAUGGCUAUUUACCAUCUCUUUGGUAUGUAUAUGUUACAUGGGUGCAAAAUUCUAUUAGUGUUUCACCAUAUAAACUUUUCUAUGGUCAUAAUCUACUGGAGUUGGGUUUACCUUUGUAAUUGUCACGAACUACAAAUGGUAGGUCUUAGGAUUAGUAUUUUAUAAGCAUUCUUCCAUUGGUCUAAGUAAAGUCUGUCAAACACCUAGAUUGGAUACAAAUGGGAUAAUAAUGGUGCUAUAACUCCCAUUAUUGUCCACCUAAGAAUUACAAAAUAAAUGUGGUAUUAGUCCAUUUUUUUAAUCUUAUAGUAUAUAGUUUGUCUAAGGCCUUUCUUGUUUAGUAGAAGGGACUAUAUCAAGUGUUAUGGCAAAUUGGAUUGCAAAUUUAUAAGGUUUAGCAUGAUGUCUAAUAAACCAAUCCUUUAAAAAUUGUGCAUGUACAAUGGUUGAAACACUUUAUAUAAAGGGAUCAAGAAUAACUAACACCACAUACAAAUCUAUUGAUGCCUUUAAGCCUAUCCACUAGAGAACAUUAACUAUUUUCCAUCCUUCCGAGGGGAGGGGAUGAUGUAAGAAUUAAGUAUACAAUUACAAUGCCAUAUCUUAAUAUUAGUGUGGUGGGAUUUGAUAGCUAUUGGAUUGUUUUCAAUUUGGAUCAUAUGCUUCUAUGUACAAGCUAGGGUUUUCGGGUUAAUUAAUAUGCACAUUUCUGUAUUCCAUUUUCAUAUUCCAUGCACUCAUAAUAUAUAUGUAUAUAUGUAUAUAUAUAUUACCUUAUCUAGGUAAUAUAGUAAUUAUAGUACUAUAUCUAUUUGGGAUUAAAUCUGGUAGGUUUAAACCUUAAUUAAUACAUCCCGAGUAACAGCUAAAGCAUUAUAUUUACUAAAUAUAUUUUUUUAUUAGAUCCAAUUGCAACCUGGUUCUAUAUAAAACAUUUUAUAACUUUCAUUUUAUAUAAGCUGUAAACACAAUAAUGCUGCAUCAUAAUAAUGAUUUGUUGCAUUAAACAGCAACAUGAUUUGCUUUGGUUUUUAUAAGUUUUACAGAAUUUCAUUUUUAUACUUCCAUGGGCUAGAAUCUAUGCCCUUCAUGAGAGCUCAAUGAUGUAAAAUUUGAUAACUUAGCUUUAAGGUUCAUGGCUUUGUUUGGCAUGCUGUUUCAGACAAUGUGAAUCCUUUUAACUUAGAGGAUAAUAUGUAGAAGUGUUGCAAUUCCUCCUAAUGGUUUUAUGAAGAUCCCAAAGCUGACAACCAAAAUCCUACUAUAGUUUGGGAAAUUUCACUUGGUACUCUUAAAAUUCUAGCUAUGAAGAACUUCAUCGCUUCUUUGCCACCCUGUACACUUGCAAUGAUUUAUAUUGAAAGAAAAUUAUAGAGAAAGUUUACAAGACAGCCAUAAGAUUAGGGAAUAUCCUAGAAUACAAUAGCAUAUUCUAGGCCUGCAAGAAGCCUCUGUGCUAUUCAAAAUGAUUUUGCAAUAUUAUCCAACAUGAAAAAUUGAAACUUUUUAUCCUUGAUUUCUCAUAAAUAAAUUAAGUAUAUUUCUAAAGCGCGCUGGAAAUUUGAUUGGUUUGUCGUUCUUGUCCAGACAAACAACAAUCCCUUUAGCCUCUAACACUGGCUGCAAACAAGAAGAAAAAACUUGAAAACCCGAAAGCAAAGGUUAUAAACAAAACCCACGGACUUCUUUGUGAGGAAGCUUGUAAAUGUUGUGGUCGAAAAACAGUCUCACAGCCGAUGAUCCAGUUAUCCUAGCCGUAACAAGGAAAACAUCCCCUGACUGGCAUAAGUAACAUUAAUACCCCGGACAGAUAGAACAAGAAUUAGAAGAUCAUACUUUCAAAAAGCUCAAGUACUUGAUGUUGAGCUCCGCAAGCGCAAGCACAGCACCAGUCCCGGCAUUAAUACUAUCACUGGAGUGAGGAUGAAAGUUCUGUGGCUGAAAGCUGCAAACAAGAAGAAAAAACUUGAAAACCCGAAAGCAAAGGUUAUAAACAAAACCAACGGACUUCUUUGUGAGGAAGCUUGUAAAUGUUGUGGUCGAAAAACAGUCUCACAGCCGAUGAUCAAGUACUUGAUGUUGAGCUCCGCAAGCGCAAGCACAGCACCAGUCCCGGCAUUAAUACUAUCACUGGAGUGAGGAUGAAAGUUCUGUGGCUGAAAGCUGCAAACAAGAAGAAAAAAUCCGGACAAUCCUGCCGUGGAUGCUCCGGCCGUGCUCCACCAUCUCCGCCUUGUCGCAGGCGUUGAGGAAGUUGACGUAGGUGACCCUGUCGGGGUGGAAGCCGUGCUGCUCCAUUUGCCGGAGGAGCAGCACCGCCUCGUCCCCCCUGCCGGCGUUGGCGUAGCCAGCCAUCAUCACGUUCCAGGAGAUCACGUCCCGCGCCGCCACCAUGGAGGCGAAGAUGGCGGCGGCGCGAUCGAAGUCGCCACGCUUGGCAUGCAUGUUGAUGCACGCGUUCCUCACCGCCACCUCCUCCUCCACGACGUCGCCACCGCCACCCCGCACCGCCGCCAUCUUGGCAAACAUCCCCGCCGCGCCAUCCACGUCCCCGCAUUUACCCAGCAGGCUGAUGAGCCCCGUCCCAAUCGCGGCAUCCCACUCCAGCCCCGUGUCCAGGAUCUGCGCCACCAUCUCCUUUGCCGCCACCGUCAGGACCGAGGACACUCCCGCUGGCUUAGUUCACAGUGAUAGUACUGUGGGAUUCUCCGUCCCACAGUACUUCUACGAGUUCAGAUCGGCCAGCAACCAUGGCCCAGUUAACACAAAUGCGGAAUGGGUAAUUUUUCUUGUCACUGUUUUAACUCGUCUAAAACGUUUGUUUCGCGCUUGGACAGUUUAACGACAUACUCAACACCUUAUUUUCUUCAAACGUUCUGUGCUGGCUGUGCUCCUGGACAGCACCUUGAAAGCGCAUAAGAAGGAUCGGGGAAUGGGGUGGUGGAAGAAGUAUCACAAGUGGGAUCAUCCAACAAAUGAAGAAUUCUACAAGCUGCCUCUCAAUAUGAACAGAUAUUUUCCUCCUCCACACUACUAAGACACCAAUAAAAUUUCGGUGACCUUUUUUUAACUGUAUAGAAUCUCAAAGAUUUGCAUUUUCAGCCACUCAAAAUGCAAGCAUAAACCAGCUUGAAA